AUCUGGCUGAAAUUCUGGGAAGUGCUGGAAAUCCCCAAAGCAAACUGCCAGAUGCCAUUUCUGGAUCCUGGAUACGUGGGCUUGGUUGCUAAGAAGACGAUGCCUCCUCCCCUUCACCACACGCAGCUGACGCCUGAACGACAGGGAGUUGAUGUACACAGAGCAGGGAUCUAACAAUGUCAACUGUGCUGACAUCAUCCUAGCUGUGCAGGGCUGAUGGGAAUUCAGAAUAUCAAACAUCACAUCAAGGGCAGUGAGCAGGUAUCAUCUACUGAACUGUUCAGACGCAAAUGAAUUGAAAAGGAGAUGAACAAGAGAGCACGAUAUAGAGAGAAAAUGUCAUCCCAUAUCACCAAGGGACAGAACAAGACUGCAGCUAUCUCCCUUUGGGGGUCAACCUUACUACUCAACCUGAGAUGCAAAGGAACAAUUCAGAAGCCAUAUGGGGACAAUUUUCAUAAGUGCUUGACCUCAACAAAAAAAGUAAAAUGGAUUUUAUCGUACUUAGAAAACCAACAAUUGCAGUCUGGAUUCAAACAUCACUGUUUGACGCACCCAACUUGAGUCAAAAGAUGCUUCAAAUCCCACUAUGCUGGAGAUUACAAACAUACCUCAAGAUUAUGACUCACACAUCAGAAACAUGCACAGAGACCUGGAGACUGAAAGCAGUCUUUCAAAGUCUUCUAGCAACAGAAAUACCUUACAUGCACAGCUCAGGUAUUCAUUUUUUUGAAGUCUUUUAUUUCUUUAUAACUUCUCAUUUUUGUUCUUUUUUUUUUUUUUUUUUUCUCAAACCCAGUGGAAGUUUUUUGGACUUUUUAAUGCCUGUGGUUAUAGCUAUUACAAUGGGCUUCUGUAUUAGUUGCAUAUUGCUCUGUGACAAACUACCCUAAAAUUUAGAUUCUUAAAAUAAUAACAGACUUACAUUAUCUCUGGCAACUUCUAGCUGAGUGAUUCUGGCUCAGGGUUUCUCAAAAGAGUGUAGUAAAGAUGUCAUUUGUUGUUGCAGCCAUCUGAAAAUUUGCCUGAGACCAAAGAAUCUAUUUCUGCGAUGACUCCCUCAAGUAACCAAGUGUGUGCUGGUGGUUGGUGGGAGGUAUCAGUUUCCCACCACGUGAACCACUUCAUAUGAUUGGAAUGCCACAAUAUCUUUAAUGACUUCACCUUGGAAGUCACAUUCUAUCAUUUUUGCAAUAUUUUAUUGAUUAUUCAGUGUGGAAGGAGACUACACAAAAACAUGAAUACCAGAAGGCUAGAAUCCUUGGGGCCAUCUUAGAUACUGACUAACCUAGCAUUUUUACCUAUUCAUAUAUUUCAUUUACUCAGUGCAUCUGUCAGUAUCAUUUAUAGCCAAUGCACUAGGCCAGGUGCUGCAGUGGGGCAUAAAGGUGUGUAAGUUGAAAGUCCUGCUCUUUAAAAUUUAAUACUUGGUGAAAGGGUUGAAACACCUACUCCCAUAACUGCAGUACAAGGUAAUAUAGGACAAAUAGCAAGGAUGUAGUGAUGUUGGUAAGCACCUCAGGUGUUCAGAGGAAGGGGAGCAAUUUCUUGUUGGGGUUUCAGAACAAAGGGAAUGUGAUCUGGGUCUCAGAAUAAAAUAGGAUCACUGUGGACAAAGACAAGUGAAAAUACAUCUCAUGCUGAGUGAACAAUGUGAAUAGGAUCAUGAAGGAUCGUGAAGUUGAGAAAGCAAGCUGAGUUCAGGGGCCAGCAACCAGACUACUUUAGAAUAGCUUAUGUAGAAAGUAGAAAGAUAAAGAUAGGGAAAAGUAGGCAGAGACCAGUUUAUGCAAGUCCUUGGAAGCUAUGUUAAAAUUUUUGAGUCUACUCAGCAAAUACUGGGAGCAGAUAAAAUUUUUUGAGAUGGUAAGUAAUGGGACAAAAUGUUUACUCUUUUAGUUUACUCUCCAAGGGGAAUCAGAGAGUGAGAAAUCAGAGACAUAGAAACAGGGUAGGAAGAACUCACAAUAAGGAGAGAAGGUAAUAACCAUAAAUAUUAUAAGUAGAAUUAGAAAGGAAUAAUCUUGAAGGAGGAAUUUGAAGAAGUUUGUAAUUCAUUGUAUACCACAUUUGAAAAAGCUGUCCCAAUAACUUGAGAUUUGCUACCUGUUUUGGAGGAGAAGUUGGUUUAAAGAGGAAAAUGGUUUAAAGAAUUUGUUUUAGGACACAUCAGUUAAAAAGAACUUGAGUAUUCUUCGUAUGUUCUCUUUUUCUUUUCCUGCACUGAAGCUUAAUCUCUUUGGGUAGUUGCUUCCUGAGAUGAAUCCUGGGAACUUGGGGAGUUGGGGAAUCCUAGCGCUGAGGUGAGGAAAGAGGGCAGUGUGGGAAAGAACAGGGCUAGAAUCUGUGAAAAUUGAGUUAGUUGGCUCCAGAGUCUGUUGAGCUCUGGUAAUCAUGAUGGUGGACAAGGGAUGGGAUUGUGAGAAAAUGAUGAACUGAAAAAUAAUGUAGUGACUGAGGUCACAGAAUUUGAAAUCAUACAGGCAUGAUAAAAAAUCCAGGUCUCCAUUUCUAGCUGACCUUGGCAAAAUGCAUAAUUUGCAGAAAGCUCAUUUGCCUAACCUGUAAUAAAUAGGAUUCAUAAUAGGGUCUUGUGAGGUUUCAAUGAAAUGUUUGGCAUAUCAAGCUUUCAGCAUGGUGGCUGGCACAUAGAAAACACUCUGUAAUGAACAGUGGAUUUAUUGAAAUGGUGGGCUUUAUGCUACUACAAAAAGAGAUUGAUACUGUCCCAGGAUCUUUUAUACCAGGUGAGUAGAAUUACUGAUCUCUUUUGGAAUCUGAUUAAUGCCUUACUGCAUACAGCUGGAGGGAGGUGAGUAUUCCUUCUUGAGUUAUUUUCGCAUAUGAUGUAAGGAAAGGGUCCAGUUUCAGUUUUUUUGCACAUGGCUAGCCAGUUUUCCCAACAUCAUUUA
Molecule: long non-coding RNA, 2912 nt
Organism: Sapajus apella (tufted capuchin)
Lineage: Eukaryota; Metazoa; Chordata; Mammalia; Primates; Cebidae
Exons: 5
Source: RefSeq, a predicted model, not a curated record